Molecule: ribosomal RNA, 114 nt
Organism: Plasmodium gallinaceum
Lineage: Eukaryota; Apicomplexa; Aconoidasida; Haemosporida; Plasmodiidae
Source: RefSeq, a predicted model, not a curated record
UCGUUCAAAUUACAGUGGAAACACCAGAUCCCAUCUGAACUCUGAAGUUAAGCACUGAUAGGCUUGAAUAGUACUGAGAUGGGCGACCACUCGGGAAUGGCAAGUAAUGAUUUG